Molecule: small nuclear RNA, 100 nt
Filed under: Myotis lucifugus (little brown bat)
Lineage: Eukaryota; Metazoa; Chordata; Mammalia; Chiroptera; Vespertilionidae
Source: RNAcentral
CUAUUCUCCAAUUGCAAUAAAUCUGUAUUAGAACAAUGCAGAGAUUAGCAUGGCCCUGUGCAAAGCUAAUACACAAAUUCACAACGUGUUUCACCUUUUU